Molecule: long non-coding RNA, 587 nt
Filed under: Nicotiana benthamiana
Lineage: Eukaryota; Viridiplantae; Streptophyta; Magnoliopsida; Solanales; Solanaceae
Description: long non-coding RNA (NBEN_LNC032179)
Source: RNAcentral
AUUUAUAACACUAAUAUCCUAUGUGCUUACGAUGUUUAUCUCCUUUAUUCUAAUUUUUUUAAUAACAAUACAUUUAAUCUAUUUAUUAUAGAAGACUUGAUCCGCCUCACCUUUAAUAUAACUGUAGGAUUUCUUCCAUACCAAAAUUCAACUGCACGUGUAUUUCAACACCUUUUUUUGGAUUUGAAAGAUAACUUGCAUUAAUUAAACAUAUGUGUACAUACCAUUAAGUAAUGUGGUGUAUUGGAUGGGGCUAUUCCUUCUUUAACCAGAGGUCUCGAGUUCGAGCCUUGGAUUUGGAAAAAUUCUUGGAGGGAGCGCUACCCCCGAAUGAGACCUUACCCAGUGCAAAUCCUGAUAUAGUCGGGCUCCAAUGCGAAUACCGAAUAUUAGAUACCGGAUGGAAAAAAAACAUAUGAGUACAGAGGUGUUGAUGCCUAAGCACCAUAUUACAAAGCAAAGUAGUACUAGAGGUAGUAGCUAAUUCAGGGGUGCAUUUGCAGAUGGUCGUGGAGGAUGUUCUACUAAACUAGGUUCCAAAAAAGAGUUUUCUUCCACGGACGCAGCUUCCGUUAGUUGGACAAAAC